Molecule: ribosomal RNA, 438 nt
Filed under: uncultured bacterium
Lineage: Bacteria
Description: partial 16S ribosomal RNA
Rfam family: Bacterial small subunit ribosomal RNA
Source: RNAcentral
CUACGGGUCGCAGCAGUGAGGAAUAUUGCACAAUGGGGGGAACCCUGAUGCAGCAACGCCGCGUGGAGGAUGACGCAUUUCGGUGUGUAAACUCCUUUUAUAUGUCAAGAAAAUGACGGUAGCAUAUGAAUAAGCACCGGCUAACUCCGUGCCAGCAGCCGCGGUAAUACGGAGGGUGCAAGCGUUACUCGGAAUCACUGGGCGUAAAGGACGCGUAGGCGGGUUGGAAAGUCAGGUGUGAAAUCCUACAGCUUAACUGUAGAACUGCACUUGAAACUUCUAAUCUAGAGUAUGGGAGGGGAGAGGGAAUUAGUGGUGUAGGGGUAAAAGCCGGAGAUAUCACUAGGAAUACCAAAAGCGAAGGCGAUCUCCUGGAACAUUACUGACGCUAAGGCGUGAAAGCGUGGGGAGCAAACAGGAUUAGAUACCCCGGUAGUC